UACAGAGGUCUCAAGCGUUGUUCGGAUUCAUUGGGCGUAAAGGGUGCGUAGGCGGCGCGGUAAGUCGGGUGUGAAAUCUCGGAGCUUAACUCCGAAACUGCAUUCGAUACUGCAGUGCUUGAGGACUGGAGAGGAGACUGGAAUUUACGGUGUAGCGGUGAAAUGCGUAGAUAUCGUAAGGAAGACCAGUGGCGAAGGCGGGUCACUGGACAGUUCCUGACGCUGAGACACGAAGGUCAGGGGAGCAAACGGG
Molecule: ribosomal RNA, 253 nt
Filed under: uncultured bacterium
Lineage: Bacteria
Description: partial 16S ribosomal RNA
Rfam family: Bacterial small subunit ribosomal RNA
Source: RNAcentral